Molecule: ribosomal RNA, 501 nt
Filed under: uncultured bacterium
Lineage: Bacteria
Description: bacterial SSU rRNA
Rfam family: Bacterial small subunit ribosomal RNA
Source: RNAcentral
AUUGAACGCUGGCGGAAUGCUUUACACAUGCAAGUCGAGCGGCAGCGCGGGGCAACCUGGCGGCGAGCGGCGAACGGGUGAGUAAUACAUCGGAACGUGCCCAGACGUGGGGGAUAACUACUCGAAAGAGUGGCUAAUACCGCAUACGAUCUAAGGAUGAAAGCGGGGGAUCGCAAGACCUCGCGCGUUUGGAGCGGCCGAUGGCAGAUUAGGUAGUUGGUGGGGUAAAGGCUUACCAAGCCCGCGAUCUGUAGCUGGUCUGAGAGGAUGAUCAGCCACACUGGGACUGAGACACGGCCCAGACUCCUACGGGAGGCAGCAGUGGGGGAAUUUUGGACAAUGGGCGAAAGCCUGAUCCAGCCAUUCCGCGUGCAGGAUGAAGGCCCUCGGGGUUGUAAAGCUCUUUCGGUGGGGAAGAAAUUGCUUCGGUUAAUACCCGGAGUAGAUGACGGUACCCGCAUAAGAAGCACCGGCUAACUACGUGCCAGCAGCCGCGGUAAU